This 596-nucleotide ribosomal RNA is filed under the name Promanota malaisei. RNAcentral's name for it is "eukaryotic LSU rRNA". It matches the Rfam family "Eukaryotic large subunit ribosomal RNA", at positions 390 to 821 of the family's 3401-position model. Lineage: Eukaryota; Metazoa; Arthropoda; Insecta; Diptera; Mycetophilidae. The record is from RNAcentral.
CAAGAGUACGUGAAACCGCUUAGGGGUUAAGCCCGAUGAACCUGAAUAUCUGAAAUGAGAAAUUCAAUACUAUUUAUGAACGUAUGUUUAUAUAUUGUAUGCACUUUUCUCAUAGUAGGACAUUGCGAUCCAUUAAGUCGUCUAUGUUAAAUAGACAAUGUUUAUCAUACGGUCCAUAUUGCUCAGUUUAUUUAUUUUUAUAUUUAUUUAUAAAUUUUAGAUAAUGCUUUUGUGGUACCCGAUAAACAAUUGAUGGAGCUUAACAAUCAUGCCAACAUGCUAUAAUGUAUCACGGUGCUUAUAAUUUAUUUAUUUGCAUGCAGUGAUUGCAUGUAUUUGAUUAGCAAUGCGAUAGAUUUGGGAUACCUUCGGGACCCGUCUUGAAACACGGACCAAGAAGUCUAACAUGUGUGCAAGUCAUUGGGUAUCUAAUGUUGAAACCUAAAGGCAUAAUUAAAAUAACUAUAUUUUAAUGGGAUUACAAGUGAUAUAAUAUUAUCAUUUCUCCAUCCCGGGGCGUUCUAUGUUAACAUGAUUUAAGCAAUUAGAUCCUCUGUUAGUGAGCGUACCUUGAGCAUACAUGCUGUGACCCGAAA